This 957-nucleotide ribosomal RNA is filed under the name bacterium enrichment culture clone SeF8. Its description in RNAcentral is "bacterial SSU rRNA". It matches the Rfam family "Bacterial small subunit ribosomal RNA", at positions 73 to 1043 of the family's 1533-position model. The record is from RNAcentral.
CUCCAGCUUGCUGGGGGGAUUAGUGGCGAACGGGUGAGUAACACGUGAGUAACCUGCCCUUGACUCUGGGAUAAGCCUGGGAAACUGGGUCUAAUACCGGAUAUGACUGCUCCGCGCAUGCGGUGGUGGUGGAAAGCUUUUGCGGUUUUGGAUGGACUCGCGGCCUAUCAGCUUGUUGGUGGGGUAAUGGCCUACCAAGGCGACGACGGGUAGCCGGCCUGAGAGGGUGACCGGCCACACUGGGACUGAGACACGGCCCAGACUCCUACGGGAGGCAGCAGUGGGGAAUAUUGCACAAUGGGCGAAAGCCUGAUGCAGCGACGCCGCGUGAGGGAUGACGGCCUUCGGGUUGUAAACCUCUUUCAGUAGGGAAGAAGCGUAAGUGACGGUACCUGCAGAAGAAGCGCCGGCUAACUACGUGCCAGCAGCCGCGGUAAUACGUAGGGCGCAAGCGUUAUCCGGAAUUAUUGGGCGUAAAGAGCUCGUAGGCGGUUUGUCGCGUCUGCUGUGAAAGACCGGGGCUCAACUCCGGUUCUGCAGUGGGUACGGGCAGACUAGAGUGAUGUAGGGGAGACUGGAAUUCCUGGUGUAGCGGUGAAAUGCGCAGAUAUCAGGAGGAACACCGAUGGCGAAGGCAGGUCUCUGGGCAUUAACUGACGCUGAGGAGCGAAAGCAUGGGGAGCGAACAGGAUUAGAUACCCUGGUAGUCCAUGCCGUAAACGUUGGGCACUAGGUGUGGGGGACAUUCCACGUUUUCCGCGCCGUAGCUAACGCAUUAAGUGCCCCGCCUGGGGAGUACGGCCGCAAGGCUAAAACUCAAAGGAAUUGACGGGGGCCCGCACAAGCGGCGGAGCAUGCGGAUUAAUUCGAUGCAACGCGAAGAACCUUACCAAGGCUUGACAUGAACUAGUAAAGCGCAGAAAUGUGUUCCCCUCUUGAGGCUGGUUACAGGUGGUG